This 443-nucleotide ribosomal RNA is filed under the name uncultured bacterium. RNAcentral's name for it is "partial 16S ribosomal RNA". It matches the Rfam family "Bacterial small subunit ribosomal RNA", at positions 338 to 795 of the family's 1533-position model. The record is from RNAcentral.
CCUACGGGAGGCUGCAGUGGGGAAUAUUGGGCAAUGGGCGCAAGCCUGACCCAGCAACGCCGCGUGAAGGAAGAAGGCUUUCGGGUUGUAAACUUCUUUUCUCAGGGACGAAGCAAGUGACGGUACCUGAGGAAUAAGCCACGGCUAACUACGUGCCAGCAGCCGCGGUAAUACGUAGGUGGCAAGCGUUAUACGGAUUUACUGGGUGUAAAGGGCGGGUAGGCGGGAAAGCAAGUCAGAUGUGAAAACCAUGGGCUCAACCUGUGGCCUGCCUUUGAAACUGUUUUUCUUGAGUACUGGAGAGGCAGCCGGAAUUCCUAGUGUAGCGGUGAAAUGCGUAGAUAUUAGGAGGAACCCCAGUGGCGAAGGCGGUCUGCUGGACAGCAACUGACGCUGAGGCGCGAAAGCGUGGGGAGCAAACAGGAUUAGAUACCCUGGUAGUC